This 71-nucleotide transfer RNA is filed under the name Alosa alosa (allis shad). RNAcentral's name for it is "tRNA-OTHER". The record is from RNAcentral. Lineage: Eukaryota; Metazoa; Chordata; Actinopteri; Clupeiformes; Clupeidae.
GCAGCCGUGGCCUACUGGUUAGCGCUUCGGACUUGUAACCGGACGGUUACCGGUUCGAACCCUGACCAGUA